GAACGCACAUUGCGCCUCCUGGUAUUCCGGGAGGCACGCCUGUCCGAGCGCCAUUACACCCCCCAAGCCUUGCUUGAUGUUGGGCCAUGACGCGCUGUCAAGCCCCAAACCUUUAGGCGCCCCCUACUGGCCGCGAGCGUAGCAAGAAAUCUUUUUCCCUCGCUUCGCGUGUCCAUUGGGCGGGUCGCCGAUUGACCCCCUAAAUUUUACAAGGUUUGGCCUCGGAUCAGGCGGGGAUACCCGCUGAACUUAAG
This 254-nucleotide unclassified non-coding RNA is filed under the name uncultured fungus. RNAcentral's name for it is "sequence contains 5.8S rRNA gene". The record is from RNAcentral. Lineage: Eukaryota; Fungi.